This 1927-nucleotide ribosomal RNA is filed under the name human gut metagenome. RNAcentral describes it as "bacterial LSU rRNA". It matches the Rfam family "Bacterial large subunit ribosomal RNA", at positions 3 to 1973 of the family's 2925-position model. The record is from RNAcentral.
UCAAGUGACUAAGUGCAUGUGGCGGAUGCCUUGGCGAUCACAGGCGAAGAAAGACGCGGCAGCCUGCGAAAAGCUGCGGGGAGCUGGCAAACGAGCUUUGAUCCGCAGAUAUCUGAAUGGGGGAACCCACACCGUAAGGUGUAUCCGUGACUGAAUACAUAGGUUACGGAGGCGAACGAGGAGAACUGAAACAUCUAAGUAUCCUCAGGAAAAGAAAUCAACCGAGAUUCCGGCAGUAGCGGCGAGCGAACCCGGAGGAGCCUAGCUUUUGAUAGUACGAACUUUAGCCGAAAGGUCCUGGAAAGGCCUGCUAUAGUGGGUGAUAGCCCCGUAGGCGAAAGAGUUCGUAUGGUACUAAGGAAGCGAGAAGUAGAGCGGGACACGUGGAAUCCUGUUCGAAGAUGGGGGGACCAUCCUCCAAGGCUAAAUACUCGUGAUCGACCGAUAGUGAACCAGUACCGUGAGGGAAAGGCGAAAAGAACCCCGGGAGGGGAGUGAAAUAGAACCUGAAACCGCAUGCAUACAAACAGUAGGAGCCUUUACGGAGGUGACUGCGUACCUUUUGCAUAAUGGGUCAGCGACUUACAUUCUGUGGCGAGCUUAACCGAAUAGGGGAGGCGCAGCGAAAGCGAGUUCGAAAUGAGCGUCCAGUCGCAGGGUGUAGACCCGAAACCAGAUGAGCUAUCCAUGGCCAGGUUGAAGGUGUGGUAACACACACUGGAGGACCGAACCGACUAGUGUUGCAAAAUUAGCGGAUGAGCUGUGGAUAGGGGUGAAAGGCCAAACAAAUCUGGAGAUAGCUGGUUCUCCCCGAAAACUAUUGAGGUAGUGCCUCGUGUGUCGCUCCAGGGGGUAGAGCACUGUUUUGGCUAGGGGGACAUGGAGUCUUACCAAACCAAGGCAAACUCCGAAUACCUGGAAGCGUAAGCACGGGAGACAGAGCACCGGGUGCUAACGUCCGGACUCAAAAGGGAAACAACCCAGACCGCCGGCUAAGGUCCCCAAUAACAGCUAAGUGGAAAACGAAGUGGAAAGGCCGUGACAACCAGGAAGUUGGCUUAGAAGCAGCCAUCCUUCAAAGAAAGCGUAAUAGCUCACUGGUCGAGUCCUUCUGCGCGGAAGAUGUAACGGGGCUAAGCUGUUAACCGAAGCCGCGGAUGCACUGAUUAUUCAGUGCGUGGUAGGGGAGCGUUCUGUAAGUCUGCGAAGGCGGUUCGAGAGGACUGCUGGAGAUAUCAGAAGUGCGAAUGCUGACAUGAGUAACGUUAAAGCAGGUGAAAAGCCUGCUCGCCGUAAGCCCAAGGAUUCCUGCUCUACGUUCAUCGGAGCAGGGUGAGUCGGCUCCUAAGGUCAGGCCGAAAGGCGUAGCCGAUGGGAAUCAGGUUAAUAUUCCUGAACCUGCGUCAGAUGCGAUGGGGGGACGGAGCAUGAAAGAUCAUCCGGGUGUUGGAUGUCCCGGUUGACGAGCGUAGGAGGUCUGCAGGCAAAUCCGCAGACGCAUCUCCAAGGCGAAGACACGUGCCGCCACGGCGGCGAAGUGAUCGGAAGUGCUUCCAAGAAAAGCCUCUAAGCACCAGUCUGACGCGGACCGUACCGCAAACCGACACUGGUGGGCGAGCUGAAUAUGCUCAGGCGCUUGAGAGAACUCGGGAGAAGGAACUCGGCAAAUUGACACCGUAACUUCGGAAGAAGGUGUGCCGUAGUACCGUGAGAGGAGAGACACCUUGAGCGGGAAUCGGUCUCAGAGAAUAGGUGGCUGCGACUGUUUAUUAAAAACACAGCACUCUGCAAAGUCGAAAGACGACGUAUAGGGUGUGAUGCCUGCCCGGUGCUGGAAGAUUAAUUGAUGGGGUGAGAGCCCUUGAUCGAAGUCCCAGUAAACGGCGGCCGUAACUAUAACGGUCCUAAGGUAGCGAAAUUCCUUGUC